Molecule: ribosomal RNA, 497 nt
Filed under: uncultured bacterium
Lineage: Bacteria
Description: partial 16S ribosomal RNA
Rfam family: Bacterial small subunit ribosomal RNA
Source: RNAcentral
GAUGAACGCUGGCGGCGUGCCUAAUACAUGCAAGUCGAGCGAACAGACGAGGAGCUUGCUCCUCUGACGUUAGCGGCGGACGGGUGAGUAACACGUGGAUAACCUACCUAUAAGACUGGGAUAACUUCGGGAAACCGGAGCUAAUACCGGAUAAUAUAUUGAACCGCAUGGUUCAAUAGUGAAAGACGGUUUUGCUUUCACUUAUAGAUGGAUCCGCGCCGCAUUAGCGAGUUGGUAAGGUAACGGCUUACCAAGGCAACGACGCGUAGCCGACCUGAGAGGGAGGUCGGCCACACUGGAACUGAGACACGGUCCCGACUCCUACGGGAGGACGCAGUAGGGAAUCUUCCGCAAUGGGCGAAAGCCUGACGGAGCAACGCCGCAUGAGUGAUGAAGGUCUUCGGAUCGUAAAACUCUGUUAUUAGGGAAGAACAAAUGUGUAAGUAACUAUGCACGUCUUGACGGUACCUAAUCAGAAAGCCACGGCUAACUACGUG